CGAGUAGGUGGCCAUCUAGGUCAGACGUGAAAUCCCCCGGCUUAACCUGGGAACUGCGUCUGAUACUGGACGGCUAGAGUUUGGGAGAGGGAUGCAGAAUUCCAGGUGUAGCGGUGAAAUGCGUAGAUAUCUGGAGGAAUACCGGUGGCGAAGGCGGCAUCCUGGACCAACACUGACACUGAACCGCGAAAGCUAGGGGAGCAAACG
This 207-nucleotide ribosomal RNA is filed under the name uncultured bacterium. RNAcentral describes it as "partial 16S ribosomal RNA". It matches the Rfam family "Bacterial small subunit ribosomal RNA", at positions 568 to 774 of the family's 1533-position model. The record is from RNAcentral.